This 408-nucleotide ribosomal RNA is filed under the name uncultured bacterium. RNAcentral describes it as "partial 16S ribosomal RNA". It matches the Rfam family "Bacterial small subunit ribosomal RNA", at positions 29 to 526 of the family's 1533-position model. The record is from RNAcentral.
AGUGAACGCUGGCGGCGUGCCUAAUACAUGCAAGUCGAACGGAGUGGCGCACGGGUGAGUAAUGUAUAGCUAAUCUGCCCUACACUAGAGGACAACAGAUGGAAACGACUGCUAAUACUCUAUAGUGUAGGAUGAGGCUAUAUUGUAUCAGCUAGUUGGUGAGGUAAUGGCUCACCAAGGCUAUGACGCAUAACUGGUCUGAGAGGAUGAUCAGGCACAGUGGAAGUUAGACACGGUCCAGACUCCUACGGGAGGAAGGAGUAGGGAAGAUUGCUCGAUGGGGAAAUCCCGGAGGAAGCAACGCCGCGUGGAGGAGGACAUUUUUUGGAGCAUAAAUUCCAUUUGUUAGGGAAGCGGUAGCUAACGAAUAAGCACCGGCUAACUCCGUGCCAGCAGCCGCGGUAAUUC